This 467-nucleotide ribosomal RNA is filed under the name uncultured bacterium. RNAcentral describes it as "partial 16S ribosomal RNA". It matches the Rfam family "Bacterial small subunit ribosomal RNA", at positions 28 to 507 of the family's 1533-position model. The record is from RNAcentral.
GACGAACGCUGGCGGCGUGCUUAACACAUGCAAGUCGAACGGAAAGGCCCCAGCUUGCUGGUGUACUCGAGUGGCGAACGGGUGAGUAACACGUGGGUAAUCUGCCCUGCACUCUGGGAUAAGCCUGGGAAACUGGGUCUAAUACCGGAUAUGACCUUUCUCCUUAUGGGGUUUGGUGGAAAGUUUUUCGGUGUAGGAUGAGCCCGCGGCCUAUCAGCUUGUUGGUGGGGUGAUGGCCUACCAAGGCGACGACGGGUAGCCGGCCUGAGAGGGUGAUCGGCCACAUUGGGACUGAGAUACGGCCCAGACUCCUACGGGAGGCAGCAGUGGGGAAUAUUGCACAAUGGGCGGAAGCCUGAUGCAGCGACGCCGCGUGAGGGAUGACGGCCUUCGGGUUGUAAACCUCUUUCAGCAGGGACGAAGCGUAAGUGACGGUACCUGCAGAAGAAGCACCGGCUAACUAUGUG